UAUUGGACAAUGGGCGAAAGCCUGAUCCAGCCAUGCCGCGUGUGUGAAGAAGGUCUUCGGAUUGUAAAGCACUUUAAGUUGGGAGGAAGGGCAUUAACCUAAUACGUUAGUGUUUUGACGUUACCGACAGAAUAAGCACCGGCUAACUCUGUGCCAGCAGCCGCGGUAAUACAGAGGGUGCAAGCGUUAAUCGGAAUUACUGGGCGAAAGCGCGCGUAGGUGGUUUGUUAAGUUGGAUGUAAAUCCCCGGGCUCAACCUGGAACUGCAUUCAAAACUACUACAGAGAUGGAGAGGGUGGUGAAUUUCCUGUGAGCGGUAAAUGCGCAGAAAGAAGAACACCAGUGGCGAGCGCACCUGGCAAUCUGCUCUGCGUCAAA
RNAcentral lists this ribosomal RNA (378 nucleotides) under uncultured bacterium. RNAcentral describes it as "bacterial SSU rRNA". It matches the Rfam family "Bacterial small subunit ribosomal RNA", at positions 362 to 750 of the family's 1533-position model. The record is from RNAcentral.